GCUUUUUAAGGGAUAACUCAGUUGGUAGAGCAUGAGAUUCUUAAUCUCAGGGUUGUGGGUUUGAGCCCUACAUUGGGUG
Non-coding RNA from Podarcis lilfordi (Lilford's wall lizard), 79 nucleotides. Lineage: Eukaryota; Metazoa; Chordata; Lepidosauria; Squamata; Lacertidae. The record is from the annotation of a GenBank genome assembly.